UUGUAGCUCAGCUGGAUAGAGCAACGGCCUUCUAAGCCGUGGGUCGGAGGUUCGAAUCCUCUCA
Molecule: transfer RNA, 64 nt
Filed under: bovine gut metagenome
Rfam family: tRNA
About the family: Transfer RNA (tRNA) molecules are approximately 80 nucleotides in length. Their secondary structure includes four short double-helical elements and three loops (D, anti-codon, and T loops).
Source: RNAcentral